This is a long non-coding RNA of Mauremys mutica (yellowpond turtle), 244 nucleotides long. RefSeq lists it as uncharacterized. The record is from RefSeq and is a predicted model, not a curated record. The transcript is spliced from 3 exons. Lineage: Eukaryota; Metazoa; Chordata; Testudines; Geoemydidae.
UGCUUUCCCGUUAGUGUCAGCGGAGGGAUCAGACCGGAGUCCCAGCUGCUAACCCAGGCCCAGGGCCCAGGCCGGCUGAGCGCUCUGUGCUGGACGGAGAUGGCCUUGGUGCUGGUCGCUGCCUUCUGCCUUCUGAGCGGUGCCUACGCCCAGCAGUGGGGUGUGACACUCGCACCAGAGCCCCUGGCUGGAUGGGCCGGCUCCUGCGUGACCAUCCCCUGCUCCUUCACCUACCCCGCAGGGU